This 253-nucleotide ribosomal RNA is filed under the name uncultured bacterium. RNAcentral's name for it is "partial 16S ribosomal RNA". It matches the Rfam family "Bacterial small subunit ribosomal RNA", at positions 524 to 776 of the family's 1533-position model. The record is from RNAcentral.
UACGUAGGGGGCAAGCGUUGUCCGGAUUUAUUGGGCGUAAAGAGCGUGUAGGCGGCCGCACAGGUCCGUUGUGAAAACUGGAGGCUUAACCUUCAGACGUCGAUGGAAACCGUGCGGCUAGAGUCCGGAAGAGGAGAGUGGAAUUCCUGGUGUAGCGGUGAAAUGCGUAGAUAUCUGGAGGAACACCGGUGGCGAAGGCGACAUCCUGGACCGGUAUUGACGCUGAGGCGCGAAAGCCAGGGGAGCAAACGGG